GACGAAGGAUGCAAGCGUUAUCCGGAUUCAUUGGGUUUAAAGGGUGCGUAGGCGGACUUGUAAGUCAGUGGUGAAAUCUCUCAGCUUAACUGAGAAACUGCCAUUGAUACUGCAGGUCUAGAGUAUAGAUGACGUUGGCGGAAUAUGACAUGUAGUGGUGAAAUACUUAGAUAUGUCAUAGAACACCGAUUGCGAAGGCAGCUAACGAAACUAUAACUGACGCUGAGGCGCGAAAGCGUGGGGAGCGAUCCGG
This 253-nucleotide ribosomal RNA is filed under the name uncultured bacterium. RNAcentral describes it as "partial 16S ribosomal RNA". It matches the Rfam family "Bacterial small subunit ribosomal RNA", at positions 524 to 776 of the family's 1533-position model. The record is from RNAcentral.